GACAGAGGGUGCAACCGUUGUUCGGAAUCACUGGGCGUAAAGCGCGUGUAGGCGGUUUCGCAAGUCGGAUGUGAAAGCCCAGGGCUCAACCCUGGAAGUGCACUCGAUACUGCGAGGCUAGAGUCCCGGAGAGGAUGGUGGAACUCUCGGUGUAGAGGUGAAAUUCGUAGAUAUCGAGAAGAACACCGGUGGCGAAGGCGGCCAUCUGGACGGUGACUGACGCUGAGACGCGAAAGCGUGGGGAGCAAACAGG
This 253-nucleotide ribosomal RNA is filed under the name uncultured bacterium. RNAcentral's name for it is "partial 16S ribosomal RNA". It matches the Rfam family "Bacterial small subunit ribosomal RNA", at positions 524 to 776 of the family's 1533-position model. The record is from RNAcentral.